This 509-nucleotide ribosomal RNA is filed under the name uncultured bacterium. RNAcentral's name for it is "bacterial SSU rRNA". It matches the Rfam family "Bacterial small subunit ribosomal RNA", at positions 777 to 1286 of the family's 1533-position model. The record is from RNAcentral.
AAUAGAUACCCGGGUAGUCCUGGCCCUAAACGAUGAAUGCUUGGUGUGGCGGGUAUCGAUCCCUGCCGUGCCGAAGUUAACGCGAUAAGCAUUCCGCCUGGGGAGUACGGUCGCAAGGCUGAAACCCAAAGGAAUUGACGGGGGCCCGCACAAGCGGUGGAGCAUGUGGUUCAAUUCGACGCAACGCGAAGAACCUUACCUGGGCUCGAAAUGCAGAUGACCAUCGGCGAAAGUCGACUUCCGCAAGGACAUCUGUAUAGGUGCUGCAUGGCUGUCGUCAGCUCGUGUCGUGAGAUGUUGGGUUAAGUCCCGCAACGAGCGCAACCCUUGUUCUCUGUUGCCAUCAGGUCAAGCUGGGCACUCUGAGGAGACUGCCGGUGACAAACCGGAGGAAGGUGGGGAUGACGUCAAGUCAGCAUGGCCUUUAUGUCCAGGGCUACACACGUGCUACAAUGGCCGGUACAAAGCGCUGCAAGCCCGCGAGGGUGAGCCAAUCGCAUAAAGCCGGU